RNAcentral lists this ribosomal RNA (253 nucleotides) under uncultured bacterium. Its description in RNAcentral is "partial 16S ribosomal RNA". It matches the Rfam family "Bacterial small subunit ribosomal RNA", at positions 524 to 776 of the family's 1533-position model. The record is from RNAcentral.
CACGUAGGGCGCAAGCGUUGUCCGGAAUUAUUGGGCGUAAAGAGCUCGUAGGUGGUUUGUUACGUCCGCUGUGAAAUCCUAGGGCUUAACCCUGGGCUUGCAGUGGAUACGGGCAGACUAGAGGUAGGUAGGGGAGAAUGGAAUUCCUGGUGUAGCGGUGGAAAUGCGCAGAUAUCAGGAGGAACACCAGUGGCGAAGGCGGAUCUCUGGGCCGUACCUGACGCUGAGGAGCGAAAGCUGGGGAGCGAACAGG